Non-coding RNA from Misgurnus anguillicaudatus (oriental weatherfish), 2533 nucleotides. NCBI's taxonomy places the organism in Eukaryota, Metazoa, Chordata, Actinopteri, Cypriniformes, Cobitidae. The record is from RefSeq and is a predicted model, not a curated record.
GAUCAUGUCCGCACUGCGUUAUGAAUCAUAUGACUGUAGAAACUCACAGACUUCCUGUUUGCGCGCGACAGAGCGAUCGAAAAGGCAGAGUUCAGUCCUCUAGACAAAAAAAUCCACAUAGAAACAACUCUACGACUCUUUGCACGGAGACGAUGUGCAUAAGCUACAGAGGAUGGAGGACAAGGUGACCGGAGACAGGAGAGUCGAGGACAAGAGGAGUUUAAUCGGGACACAGCCUGUUGUCCCAACCGACACCCGAGUCCACGAAUCACCCGAAUCCACAGAUGACAUCAGAUCUGUCCAGCAUGGCACGCCGUGUUUCGUUUACAUCCUCGCGGGUUUUUCAGCUCUGGGUGGGUUCCUGUUCGGCUAUGAUACAGGUGUGGUGUCCGGAGCCAUGCUGCUGCUCAAGAAGGAGAUGAACUUGAGCUCUCUGUGGCAGGAGCUUCUGGUCUCCAUCACCGUAGGUGCCGCUGCCCUGUCUGCUCUGGCUGGAGGGUAUCUCAACGGGGUCUUCGGCCGGAGAAUCUGCAUACUUCUCGCCAGCUUUAUCUUCUCUGCGGGUGGUGUUAUAUUGAGUGCUGCGCCCAACAAAGAGGUCCUCCUGUUUGGACGACUUAUAGUUGGGCUUGGUUUAGGUAUUGCAUCUAUGACCGUGCCGGUUUACAUCGCUGAGGUUUCUCCUCCUCAGCUUAGAGGCCAGCUGGUCACCAUUAACACUUUGUUCAUCACUGGCGGUCAGUUCAUAGCCAGUGUGGUGGAUGGGGCCUUUAGCUACAUGCAGAAUAAUGGCUGGAGAUAUAUGCUGGGUUUGUCUGUGCUUCCGGCUGCUUUGCAGUUCUUCGGCUUCCUCUUUCUCCCGGAGAGCCCUCGAUGGCUUUUGCAGAAGGGGGAGACCCAGAAGGCUCAGCGGGUGCUUGUUCAGAUCCGUGGCGGUAUAAAUGUUGAUGAGGAGUAUGAGGCCAUGAGGAGCAGCAUUGAGGAAGAGAGGAACGAUACUGGUGAUGGUCUGGUGUUGUGGCGUAUGCUAAGGUAUGCUCCGGUACGGCGUGCACUGAUCGUGGGUUGUGGUCUACAGAUGUUCCAGCAACUUUCUGGAAUCAAUACGGUCAUGUACUACAGUGCCACCAUACUGCAGAUGUCUGGAGUACAGGAUGAUCGGACGGCCAUCUGGCUGGCUGCUGCCACAGCCUUCACUAACUUCCUGUUUACCCUCGUGGGGGUGUGGCUUGUGGAGAGGGUGGGCCGCAGAAAACUGACACUGGGGAGUAUACUGGGCACUGCUUUAAGUCUGAUGGUCCUGGCAGCUGGUUUCCUGCUGUCUGCUCAGGCCUCUCCACCUGUGACCUUUCACCCUAGUGACCCCUCCCUCAACAGCUCCUCCUGCAAUACAUAUGGUUUCUGUGAACCGUGCAUGUUGGAUCCAGGUUGUGGUUUCUGUUAUGGGAGAAAUGGCACAGUUGUAGUGGAGUCCUCCUGUUUGCCAAUAAAUGCUGACAACACUGAGACCGCUGCUUUGGGAAGAUGUUCCAAUGGCACCCAGGAGAGCACAGGUGCAUUCUGGGCCUAUAACUACUGCCCAACAUCGUAUUCCUGGGUGGUUUUGUUGGGUCUAAUUCUGUAUUUGGCUUUUUUUGCUCCAGGUAUGGGUCCUAUGCCAUGGACCGUGAACUCCGAGAUUUAUCCACUUUGGGCUCGGAGCACAGGAAACGCCUGCUCUGCUGGGGUCAACUGGAUCUGUAAUGUGCUUGUUUCUUUGACCUUCCUCCACGUGGCCCAAUACCUCACAUACUACGGAGCUUUCUUCUUGUACUCCAGUCUGGCUCUACUGGGUUUUGUGUUCGUGGUGGGCUGUCUGCCGGAGACCAAGGGUCUGCGUCUGGAGGAGAUCGAGUCUCUUUUUGGCAGAAGGCUCUGCACCUGUGGCGCUGGGAGUCAGGGUGUACACUACAUCAGGGUAAAAGGAGGGAACUAUCGCUCCGAUGAAGAUGUUACUGAUGAUGAUCAAUAGAUUUCUGUGAAUUAGUGGUGCGAGGGUUGCCGUGGUUCCCAUUCCAGAGAUUCAAGGAUUAUGUUGACUCGUAAAUGUUAAACCGGCCUCGAUUGGAGUUGGGAGCAUUGCAUUAUGGUACACUGGAGCCGGAGGGCAGAAUUGCCUACAUAUCAUUGCAGUAAUGAAGCCUCUAUUUGUGGACAUGAAGAUUUGCUUGUUUACUGAAUUAUUUCUUUUUAAAGUUGAUAUUCAAGUUGUGAGAUUGUAAUACAAUCUUAUUAUGUGAUACAAUUUUUUUGUAUGCAAUGUGGAUUUUAUCAUUAUGGCCUGAUAAUUUUUGUCUUGCUGUAUAGAGUUAGAAUUUAAAAAGACAUUUGUAGAGAAUACAACAAAUCACAUCUUAAAUAAGGAGUAUAUUUACCUUAAAUGCAAUAUUUUCAAAACUGGAUUGCAUUUUCUGAUCCACACUUGUGACUUAGAAAUAGCUGCUGAUAUGUAUUUCUAAACUGUGCACUUUCAUAAAUAAAUGUUUGUAAAUGA